CGCAGGAAAAGAAACUAACCAGGAUUCCCUCAGUAGCGGCGAGCGAAGCGGGAGAAGCCCAACAUGAAAAGUCUUUCGAGGCUGUGUAGUGAGAGAACGUCCCAGAGGUGUCAAUUCAAGUAAGUGUGUAUGAAAAUGCCCGCCGCGGAGGGUUAAAGCCCCGUCCAGCUUGAAUAUGUAGCUUCGUACCGGGAUCGUUUCUUAAGAGUCGGGUAGCUUGAGAAUGCUGCCCUAAGAUAGGUGAUAAAUUUCAUCUAAGGCUAAAUACUGGUGAGAGACCGAUAGCGAACAAGUACCGUGAGGGAAAGUUUAAAAGCACUUUGGAAAGAGGGUGAAAAGAACCUGAAACCGUUACGAAGGAAGCGAGCUGCGUUGUCAGGGUGCAUUGUCUAGUGGUUUUCAGCUAAUUUAUUUUGGUGUAUUGAUCGCUAUUGACGCUGCCGUCGUGGGUUGUCAUUCACUUGGCGACUAUAGGAGUACCCUGCGGGGGACGACGGAGGACUGACGCGGCACGACCCGUCUUGAAACACGGACCAAGGAGUCUAGCAUGGCUGCGAGUCGUAGGGUAUUGAAACCUGAAGGCGCAGUGAAAGCGAAUUGUUUUUAUUGAAAGCAAGGAGUUUGUGGCGGCAUGUGAUUGUUAAUUGCAAGUCUGACCUGGAGCAGUUAUGAUAGGACCCGAAAGAUGGUGAACUAUGCUGGCGUAGGGUGAAGCCAGAGGAAACUCUGGUGGAAGCUCGAAGCGGUGCUGACGUGCAAAUCGUUCGUAAAACGUGAGUAUAGGGGCGAAAGACUAAUCGAACCAUCUAGUAGCUGGUUUCUUCCGAAGUUUCUCUCAGGAUAGCAUGUCACAGGGUGUUGCUAUGUGCCGUAAAGCCAAUGAUUAGCGUAUUUGAGGUCCUUCGGGCUUCUGGCGAUUCUCAAACUUUAAACGCGCACGGGUGUCGUGGCUUGGAUGCACUUCACUAUUUAGAACUGUGACUUUGUGGGCCAAUUUUGGUAAGCAGAACUGGCGAUACGGGAUGAACCGUAAGUAUGGUUAAGGCGCCAAACUAUUUGCUUAAAGAUCCCAAAAAAGGUGUUGAUUCAUAUAGACAGCAGGACGGUGGCCAUGGAAGUCGGAAUCCGCUAAGGAGUGUGUAACAACUCACCUGCCGAAUGAAUUAGCCCUGAAAAUGGAUGGCGCUGAAGCAAGUGGCCGACACCAUACCGUUUGUAAAAGAGCUAAUACAAAUGAGUAGGAAGAACGUGGUGGCUGUAUCGAAGCAUGCAGGCAACUGUGUGUGGAACGGUCACUAGUGCAGAUCUUGGUGCUAGUAGCAAGUAUUCAAAUGAGAACCUUGAAGGGCGAAGCGGGGAAGGGUUCCACGCGAACAUUGAUUGAGCGUGGGGGAGUCGUACCUAAGCUAACUGGCAAUUGUAUGAAAAUGGCGAAAGGGAAGCAGGUUGAUAUUCCUGCACUCGGAUGUAGACGCGGUGACGCAUGUUUUGUGGCGAUGACGCUGUUAGAGACACUGGGCAGAGAUUUCUUUUCUGUUUAACCGUAAUUUGUGUUCUGUGGAAUCUGCUCGUCAGGAGAAACAGGCACAUCUGGGCAGAGCCCCGAGCUUUUUUUGGGGUCCAGUAUGUCUUUAGCGGUCCUUGAAAAGUCGUUCACAGGGUAGGAAUUUAUUCUUAUCAAAAAGACAAUCUACGCCGGGACGUACCGAUAUCCGCAUCAGGUCCCCAAGGUGAACAGCCUCUGUCCGAUAUGAAAAAUGCAGGUAAGGGAAGUCGGCAAAUUAGACCCGUAACUUUGGGAAAAGGGUUGGCUCUGAUGCUACGUGGAAUAUGGGGUUCAGUUUGGUGUGCUGGGAGUUUUGGUUGGUCUGCGCUCGGGGAGCAAUUCUCAGUGUGGGCUGGCUGGGGCGACUGGUAUUGCUGGCUGUUCUCUGUCUCUGCAGAAUGUGGCGAAUUAGAACUGUAACGGUCAAAGGGAAUCCGACUGUUUAAUUAAAACAAAGCAUUGUGAAGCUAUGGCUAGUGUUUACGCAAU
This 2035-nucleotide ribosomal RNA is filed under the name Nitophyllum punctatum. Its description in RNAcentral is "eukaryotic LSU rRNA". It matches the Rfam family "Eukaryotic large subunit ribosomal RNA", at positions 51 to 2190 of the family's 3401-position model. Lineage: Eukaryota; Rhodophyta; Florideophyceae; Ceramiales; Delesseriaceae. The record is from RNAcentral.